AAGGAUUUAGCUUAAUAAAAGUGGUUGAUUUGCAUUCAAUUGAUGUAGGAUGAGGUCCUGCAAUCCUUA
RNAcentral lists this transfer RNA (69 nucleotides) under Episoriculus macrurus (Long-tailed mountain shrew). RNAcentral describes it as "tRNA-Ala". It matches the Rfam family "tRNA". From Rfam's summary of the family: Transfer RNA (tRNA) molecules are approximately 80 nucleotides in length. Their secondary structure includes four short double-helical elements and three loops (D, anti-codon, and T loops). Further hydrogen bonds mediate the characteristic L-shaped molecular structure. tRNAs have two regions of fundamental functional importance: the anti-codon, which is responsible for specific mRNA codon recognition, and the 3' end, to which the tRNAs corresponding amino acid is attached (by aminoacyl-tRNA synthetases). tRNAs cope with the degeneracy of the genetic code in two manners: having more than one tRNA (with a specific anti-codon) for a particular amino acid; and 'wobble' base-pairing, i.e. permitting non-standard base-pairing at the 3rd anti-codon position. Lineage: Eukaryota; Metazoa; Chordata; Mammalia; Eulipotyphla; Soricidae. The record is from RNAcentral.